AGUGAACGCUGGCGGUAGGCCUAACACAUGCAAGUCGAACGGCAGCACAGUAAGAGCUUGCUCUUACGGGUGGCGAGUGGCGGACGGGUGAGGAAUACAUCGGAAUCUACUUUUUCGUGGGGGAUAACGGAGGGAAACUUACGCUACUACCGCAUACGACCUACGGGUGAAAGCAGGGGAUCUUCGGACCUUGCGCGAUUGAAUUAGCCGAUGUCGGAUUAGCUAGUUGGCGGGGUAAAGGCCCACCAAGGCGACGAUCCGUAGCUGGUCUGAGAGGAUGAUCAGCCACACUGGAACUGAGACACGGUCCAGACUCCUACGGGAGGCAGCAGUGGGGAAUAUUGGACAAUGGGCGAAAGCCUGAUCCAGCCAUACCGCGUGAGUGAAGAAGGCCUUCGGGUUGUAAAGCCCUUUUGUUGGGAAAGAAAAGCAGCAGGUUAAUACCCCGCUGUUCUGACGGUACCCAAAGAAUAAGCACCGGCUAACUUCGUG
Molecule: ribosomal RNA, 492 nt
Filed under: uncultured bacterium
Lineage: Bacteria
Description: partial 16S ribosomal RNA
Rfam family: Bacterial small subunit ribosomal RNA
Source: RNAcentral